This 360-nucleotide ribosomal RNA is filed under the name uncultured bacterium. RNAcentral describes it as "partial 16S ribosomal RNA". It matches the Rfam family "Bacterial small subunit ribosomal RNA", at positions 338 to 696 of the family's 1533-position model. The record is from RNAcentral.
CCUACGGGAGGCAGCAGUGAGGAAUAUUGGUCAAUGGCCGGAAGGCUGAACCAGCCAAGCCGCGUGAAGGACGAAGGUGCCAAGCAUUGUAAACUUCUUUUGUCAGGGGGCAAAAUCAGACGCGAGAGCCUGACUGAGGGUACUUUAAGAAAAAGCAUCGGCUAACUCCGUGCCAGCAGCCGCGGUAAUACGGAGGAUGCGAGCGUUAUCCGGAUUUCUUGGGUUUAAAGGGUGCGUAGGCGGGCGGGUAAGUCAGCGGGAAAAGCCCGGGGCUAACCCCCGGCCAGCCGGUGAAACUGGCUGGCUUGAGAUGAGGAGAGGUAGGCGGAAUGCGUAGUGUAGCGGUGAAAUGCUUAGAUA